CUGCCACUGAGGACACAAAAGAAGACGCAGAGAUGCCAAAAAGAGCAGCUUUGUCUGUGUGCUGUGCCACCAGCAGUGACACCACGGAACAGCAGUGCUCUAAGAGCAGAAGAUAAAAACAGAGAUCAUUUGAGAAAUUCAGCGAAACUUCAGGAGGCAUUAGCUCAGACAGAAUUCAUCCAAAACCAAGACUGAGGAUAGCUGGAAAGCUGGAUUCAGCCUGGAAUUUGUGACAACACCAGGAGGGAGGGCAAAGCGGCUGUCAUGAAGCAGUGUGGGCACCCAUCUCUCCAGCAGCAGAGAGCAAUCAGCUACCCACACUAACACCCUAACCCACGUUUCAGGCAGAAAACCAGCACUCCCAUCAGCACCCUUCAGAGCCCAUCUGUACAAUGGGGCUGAGAUAUUCCACUUCCUGCCUUCCCUCCAGGAUGGAAGCUGGCAGAUUCAACGUGCCUACAAAGCCUUCCCCAGAAACUGCCGCUAAGAGGGCAAAACUGUUAUUGUUAUUAUGAUUAGAAACCAAG
Molecule: long non-coding RNA, 527 nt
Organism: Gallus gallus (chicken)
Lineage: Eukaryota; Metazoa; Chordata; Aves; Galliformes; Phasianidae
Source: Ensembl